RNAcentral lists this transfer RNA (62 nucleotides) under Macrophthalmus abbreviatus. RNAcentral describes it as "tRNA-Thr". It matches the Rfam family "tRNA". From Rfam's summary of the family: Transfer RNA (tRNA) molecules are approximately 80 nucleotides in length. Their secondary structure includes four short double-helical elements and three loops (D, anti-codon, and T loops). Lineage: Eukaryota; Metazoa; Arthropoda; Malacostraca; Decapoda; Macrophthalmidae. The record is from RNAcentral.
GUUUUUAUAGUUUAAAAAACAUUGGUCUUGUAAACCAAAGAUAAAUAAAUAUUUUAAAAGCU